RNAcentral lists this ribosomal RNA (435 nucleotides) under Triticum aestivum (bread wheat). RNAcentral's name for it is "partial small subunit ribosomal RNA". The record is from RNAcentral. Lineage: Eukaryota; Viridiplantae; Streptophyta; Magnoliopsida; Poales; Poaceae.
AUGGCACCCAAGGCGGCGGAGAAGAAGCCGGUGGUGGCCGCGGAGAAGACCCCGGCGGGGAAGAAGCCCAAGGCGGAGAAGCGGGCGCCGGCGUCCAAGGAGGCCGGCGGCGAGGGCAAGACGAGGGGCAGGAAGAAGGGCAGCAAGGCCAAGAAGGGCGUGGAGACGUACAAGAUUUACAUCUUCAAGGUGCUGAAGCAGGUGCACCCGGACGUAGGCAUCUCCUCCAAGGCCAUGUCCAUCAUGAACUCCUUCAUCAACGACAUCUUCGAGAAGCUCGCCGGGGAGUCGGCCAAGCUGGCGCGGUACAACAAGAAGCCCACCAUCACGUCCCGGGAGAUCCAGACCUCCGUCCGCCUCGUCCUCCCUGGGGAGCUCGCCAAGCACGCCGUCUCCGAGGGCACCAAGGCCGUCACCAAGUUCACUUCAUCCUAG